CAUUUUGGUCCUAUUGUAAUGCCUAGCACAAACUUUUUAAAUUAUUAUAAUCAAGUCACACAACCUAAUUUAGCUAAUUUAGCUGGAUAAAUAUUGAUGUAGGAGUAAUAUAGGAUCUUAAUUAUUAUCACAUCCUCAAUCACAAUAUUUUUAUAUCACUUCUAUUUUAGUAAUUCGUCAACAUUCAUCUGGCUAAAUUGGAUUAUGAGAUUUAAUUACAACAAUUCACAAAGAUCAAGCCAGAAAUUAUAACAAAUUAACUUUUGAGGACCAAAGUAUCACUCUCCUCAUAGUUUGAGAAUCAAAAAGUAAUUUACCCAAGAAACUUUAUAUUGUGAAUUUUGGGUAAAUUACACUUUUGGUCCUCAAACUAUUAGAUGCAUAACAUUUUAGUCCUCAAAAUUUAAUCUGUUAUAAUUUUUGUUCAAAUUUUCUGAAUUGUUGUAAUUAAGUCUCACAAUCCAAUUUAACUAACUAAUAUAGAUAUGCUGUUAAUGUAAAUGUGAUGUAGUAGUAUUGUGAUUGAUGAUGCGACAAUAAUUAAAAUGCUAUAUCACUGUCACAUCAACAAUUCAUCAAUAUUUAGCUAAAUAAAUUAGGUCGCAAGAUUUAAUUGUAAUAAUUAAGCCAUAAUUGCCAAAAAUUU
RNAcentral lists this long non-coding RNA (646 nucleotides) under Ananas comosus (pineapple). Its description in RNAcentral is "long non-coding RNA (ACOM_LNC019260)". The record is from RNAcentral. Lineage: Eukaryota; Viridiplantae; Streptophyta; Magnoliopsida; Poales; Bromeliaceae.